AACGCACCUUGCGCUCCUUGGUAUUCCGAGGAGCAUGCCUGUUUGAGUGUCAUGAAAUUCUCAACCUUUCUAGCUUUUUCGAAGGCUAGGCAGGCUUGGAUCGUGGAGGCUGCUGGUUCUUGUCAAUCAGCUCUUCUUAAAUGUAUUAGCAGUCCUUUGCUGACGAUCAUUGGUAUGAUAAUUAUCUAUAUCAUUGAGACACAGCUUCCCUAGUGGAGAGGCUCCGCUUCUAAUCGUCUUUAUAAGACAACUUGACAACUUUGACCUCAAAUCAGGUAGGACUACCCGCUGAACUUAA
Molecule: unclassified non-coding RNA, 298 nt
Filed under: uncultured Entoloma
Lineage: Eukaryota; Fungi; Basidiomycota; Agaricomycetes; Agaricales; Entolomataceae
Description: sequence contains ITS2
Rfam family: 5.8S ribosomal RNA (bases 1-52)
Source: RNAcentral